Non-coding RNA from Pimephales promelas (fathead minnow), 672 nucleotides. NCBI's taxonomy places the organism in Eukaryota, Metazoa, Chordata, Actinopteri, Cypriniformes, Leuciscidae. The record is from RefSeq and is a predicted model, not a curated record.
GUUUUCACCAAGGGAACCGAACUAAACCGGAGGACUGACGCCGCGUCGAAGAUCUGAUUCGUGUCCCUAAACAUGCUAAAACAUCCAUAGAUGGCCAUAAUUGAAGAAUCUCACAUUCUUCACGUGUCAAACAGCGUCAGCUAAGAGCAUCACCUGUGGCUGUGCUUGGACAGAACGUAGCGGAGCUUCUCCAGCUCCAACACUUGAGUCAUGUCCUCCCACACGCGCUCUUCAUCUUGGGUCAAGUUCCUGUCUUCUCGUGCGAUCCUCGCCAUGGAAACCAUGAACUCCAGGUAGGACUGGCGCACCUGUCCACAAACACGACGGAGGAUCUGCUGAUUCGUGUGAUUAUAACCAAAGCAUUGAGGGAGAAAAUGACACAACGUACCUUCUUAUAAUUCCCAUCGCUGAGAUCUAUAACGAGUGCCAAUAAUGACGGCGGCGUCCUCUCACCCUCCUAUAUCUCCCUCUACACAUGACAGAUGAGCAGGACGGCCACUGCUCUGUGAAACCGCUGGACUUUCCCAUCAGUCCAGUGCCUUAUCCUUAUCUACACCCAGCGACAGCGCGGCUGGAGCGGUUGCAUUUAUCCCAUUUAGAUAAGCUCAAGAUGCUGCCAUUCUCUGCGCGAGUGAAUUAGAGACGGCCUGCGCUAUCUCCAGUACCUGAUGU